RNAcentral lists this ribosomal RNA (300 nucleotides) under uncultured Propionigenium sp. RNAcentral describes it as "bacterial SSU rRNA". It matches the Rfam family "Bacterial small subunit ribosomal RNA", at positions 114 to 412 of the family's 1533-position model. Lineage: Bacteria; Fusobacteriati; Fusobacteriota; Fusobacteriia; Fusobacteriales; Fusobacteriaceae. The record is from RNAcentral.
CGCGUAAAGAACUUGCCCUCUAGACUGGGACAACUAUUGGAAACGAUAGCUAAUACCGGAUAUUAUGAGAAUUUCGCAUGGGGAACUCAUGAAAGGCUAUAUGCGCUAGAGGAGAGCUUUGCGUGCCAUUAGGUAGUUGGUAGGGUAAUGGCCUACCAAGCCGACGAUGGCUAGCCGGCCUGAGAGGGUGAACGGCCACAAGGGGACUGAGACACGGCCCUUACUCCUACGGGAGGCAGCAGUGGGGAAUAUUGGACAAUGGGCGCAAGCCUGAUGCAGCCAUGCCGCGUGUGUGAAGAA